RNAcentral lists this ribosomal RNA (503 nucleotides) under uncultured bacterium. Its description in RNAcentral is "partial 16S ribosomal RNA". It matches the Rfam family "Bacterial small subunit ribosomal RNA", at positions 30 to 523 of the family's 1533-position model. The record is from RNAcentral.
AUUGAACGCUGGCGGCAGGCUUAACACAUGCAAGUCGAGCGGGGUGAUGGUGCUUGCACUAUCACUUAGCGGCGGACGGGUGAGUAAUGCUUAGGGAUCUGCCCAUUAGUGGGGGACAACAUCUCGAAAGGGAUGCUAAUACCGCAUACGUCCUACGGGAGAAAGCAGGGGAUCACUUGUGACCUUGCGCUAAUAGAUGAGCCUAAGUCGGAUUAGCUAGUUGGUGGGGUAAAGGCCUACCAAGGCGACGAUCUGUAGCGGGUCUGAGAGGAGGAUCCGCCACACUGGAACUGAGACACGGCCCAGACUCCUACGGGAGGCAGCAGUGGGGAAUAUUGGACAAUGGGGGGAACCCUGAUCCAGCCAUGCCGCGUGUGUGAAGAAGGCCUUAUGGUUGUAAAGCACUUUAAGCGAGGAGGAGGCUCUUUUGGUUAAUACCCAAGAUGAGUGGACGUUACUCGCAGAAUAAGCACCGGCUAACUCUGUGCCAGCCGCCGCGGUAA